UUGCACGCUGGCGGCAUGCUUUACCCCUGCAAGUCGCACGGCAGCGCGGGCUUCGGCCUGGCGGCGAGUGGCGAACGGGUGAGUAAUGCAUCGGAACGUGCCCAGUAGUGGGGGAUAGCCCGGCGAAAGCCGGAUUAAUACCGCAUACGACCUGAGGGUGAAAGCGGGGGACCGAAAGGCCUCGCGCUAUUGGAGCGGCCGAUGUCGGAUUAGCUAGUUGGUGGGGUAAAGGCUUACCAAGGCGACGAUCCGUAGCUGGUCUGAGAGGACGACCAGCCACACUGGGACUGAGACACGGCCCAGACUCCUACGGGAGGCAGCAGUGGGGAAUUUUGGACAAUGGGGGCAACCCUGAUCCAGCCAUGCCGCGUGCGGGAAGAAGGCCUUCGGGUUGUAAACCGCUUUUGUUCGGGAAGAAAUCCUCUGGGCUAAUACCCCGGGGGGAUGACGGUACCGGAAGAAUAAGCACCGGCUAACUACGUG
This 483-nucleotide ribosomal RNA is filed under the name uncultured bacterium. Its description in RNAcentral is "partial 16S ribosomal RNA". It matches the Rfam family "Bacterial small subunit ribosomal RNA", at positions 29 to 507 of the family's 1533-position model. The record is from RNAcentral.